This is a long non-coding RNA of Hypanus sabinus (Atlantic stingray), 4501 nucleotides long. RefSeq lists it as uncharacterized. Lineage: Eukaryota; Metazoa; Chordata; Chondrichthyes; Myliobatiformes; Dasyatidae. The record is from RefSeq and is a predicted model, not a curated record. The transcript has 3 exons.
CAGUCUUUGUAUGGGAAUCUUUACAUACAACAUGUGCCAAUGCAGUAUUAAUUCUGCUCCUGUGUUUGGGGGAGUACAAACGGCAGGAAGGACGCACGUAAUUUAAUUUAAAUUGAGCAUUGAUGCUCUGCAGAUGUUUUCAACUCGAGUUCCGGGGUGAGUGGGGAGGCCUGUGUGAGAUUUGUAAACUCUGUCACACACAGGACAACUGAUGCUCGAUGAGGUGGGCAGAUGAUUUUCUUAUUCUUCGAAUCGACGUGGGCUUCGCGGGUUGAAACAUUUAGUUGUUCAUGAAGACACAGAUCCUAACCCGAUUGCUGGAAUCUGGGGGGGGGGGGGGUAGUGGAAGAGGAAUUAUUGGUAACACACACUAAAUUAUAAGAACAUAAGACGUAGGAGUAGAAUUAGGCGGUUUGGCCCGUCGAGGCUGCUCCGCCAUUCAUUCAUGGCUGAUCCUUGUUAACUCUCCUCAGCCCCACUCCCUAGUCUUCUCUCCGUAACAUUUGAUGCGUGUCCAAUCAAGAUACUAUCAAACUCUGCCUUAAAUCUGACCAAGGACCUGCUUCCAUAGCUGCUUGUGGUAAUAAAUUCACCACCUUUGAUGAAAGAAAUUUCUUCGCAUCUGUUUUAAAUGGAUACCCCAUCUAUCCUGAGGCUGUGCCCUUUUGUCCUAGACUCCCCCCACCAUAAGAAACAUCCUCUGUCUAGGCCUUUCAACAUUUGAAAGGUUUCAAUGCGAUUUCCCUCAUCCGUUUAGACUCCAAUAAGUAGACACAGAGCCAUCAAAUGUUUCUCAUACUAUAUUUCAUUCCCAGAAUCAUCCCUGUGAACCUCCUCUGGAGGUUCCAGAAAGGAUCCUUUUAUUCCCACUCACUGCUUCCUACCAAUCAGCAAAUGCUCUAACCUUGACUCUGGUUCAUUAUAUAACACCCAAUACAGUUUAGCUGAUCCCCUAGUAGGCUCAAUGGCAAACUGCUCUAAAAAGCCAUCUCGUAGGUAUUCAACAAACUCAGUCUCUUGAGAUCCAUUUCCAACCUGAUUUUCCCAAUUGACCUGCAUGUUGAAAUCUCUGUUGACAAGCCUUUUCCAUUUCUCAUUCUAAUCUGUGGUCCACAAUCCAGCUACUGCUGGGAGGCCUGUAUAUAACUGCCAUCAGGAUCGUUUUACCCUUGCAGCUUCUUAAUUCAAUCCACAAGGGUUCAACAUCUUCCAAUCCUUUCUACUGAUUUGAUGCCAUUCUUUACCAGCACAGCCACAUCACCCCAUCUGCCUACCUUCCUAUCCUUCCAAUACAAUGUGUAACCCUGGACAUUCAGCUUCCAAAUAUGGCCAUCCUUCAGCCACAAUUCAGUGAUGGCCACAAUAAUAGUGCAACAAGAUCACCCAUUUUAUUGCUUAUACUCCGUGCAUUGAAAUAUAACAAGAGUACUGUACUUGCUACCCUUUUUGGUUUUGCAUUCCUAAUGUACUGGUACUCACCCUGCUGUUGCAAUUUUGUCCUAUCAUCCGUCUGCCCUUCCUGACAGUCUGACUGCUCGCUAUCUGUGCUUAUAAUAAAGAGUUGACUUUUUGGACCCAAAACCCUUCAUUUUAAGGGUCUGACUUGCUGAGUUCCUCCAGUAGUUUGAAUUUGUUCCUUCGGAUUUCCAGCAUUUGCAGAAUCUCUUGAAUUUAUGAGAGGAAUUGUUGGUUUCCAAUGGAAUCCCCAAAUCAGGACCCAAUUCAGACAGAGUGAUCAGCAGCACUGGGGCUCCACAGGGGACUGUCCUGUCUCCCUUUCUCUUCACCAUCUACACCUCGGACUUCAACUACUGCCAUCUUCAGAAGUUUUCUGAUGACUCAGCCAUAGUUGGAUGCAUCAGCAAGGGAGAUGAGGCUGAGUACAGGGCUACGGUGGAAAACUUUGUCACAUGGUGCGAGCAGAAUCAUCUGCAGCUUAAUGUGAAAAAGACUAAGGAGCUGGUGGUGGACCUGAGGAGGGCUAAGGCACUGGUGACCCCUGUUUCCAUUCAAGGGGUCAGUAUGGACAUGGUGGAGGAUUACAAAUACCUGGGACACGAAUUGACAAUAAACUGGACUGGUCAAAGAACACUGAGGCUGUCUACAAGAAGGGUCAGAGCCGUCUCUAUUUCCUGAGGAGACUGAGGUCCUUUAACAUCUGCCGGAAGAUGCUGAGGAUGUUCUAUGAGGCUGUGGUGGCCAGUGCUAUCAGGUUUGCUGUUGUGUGCUGGGGCAGCAGGCUGAGGGUAGCAGAUACCAACAGAAUCAACAAACUCAUUCGUAAGGCCAGUGAUGUUGUGGGUCAGAGAGCAACUUCCAGUUGGUGGUGUUCCCCAUGCUGAUGCUACUUAUCCUUCUCUCGCUGACUGAGGUCGUGUAUUUGGAAGGUACUGUCUCAGGAGUCUUGCUCAUUGUUCAGCCCAUCUCAGAUUUUACCACCGGACAUUGCAAAGCACAAGUUGGAAGAAAAGCUGGAGGUCACUUGCAGGCGAUCUCUCCUCCUGCUGGACACUCCAGAGUUUAGAGUGGGAACAUUUGUAUGUUGAGGCAAUCACAGUAGAACAAAGAAAUACAAUAGAAUCAAUGAAAAACUACACACAAGCAAAAACUAAAAAACAACCAAAGUGCAAAAGAAGACAAAUGUGUAAAUAUAUAAAAAUAAAUAAAUGUUACUGAGAACAUGAGUUGUAGAGUUUUUGAAAGUGAGUCCAUAGGUUGUGUGAUUAUUUCAAGGUUGCAGUGAGUGAAGUUAUCCAUACUGGUUCAGUAUGCUGAUGGUUGAGGGGUAAUAACUGUUCCUGAACCUGGUGGUGUAGGACCCAAGGCUCCUGCACCUUCUUCCUGACAGCAGCCACGAGAAGAGAGUAUGGCCUGGAUGGUGAAGUUUUGUGUUGGAGUAUGUUGAGGUGAGUGACUUCAUUAGAAAACAAGCAAUGGACUAGCUGAAGAGUUGCAAUCAUAUAUUAUGAAGAACUCCAGUUGCUGCUGGGCCAAAGCAGGGCCAAGUCAAUCAAUAUUACUGAGAUGAAAAAGAAAACACAAACUUGACCAUAACUGACUUGGGGGUGAGGUUGCAAAUCCUGGAAAUCCAGAGCAACUCACAAAAUAUUGGAGAAACUCAGCAAGUCAAUCAGCGUCUAUGGAGGGGAAUAAACAGUCUGUGGCGACCCACUUUCUGUGCAGGCGAACCGGCUCACAAAUAGCCCGCGUGCGGGGAGAGACUUUGGCAAUGCACCUCUGACGUAAUUUCCGCCUGGGGAGGGCGGGAGCUAAGGAUUAAAAGCCAGCACCACAAUGUUUGAAUAAACUAGUCUCGAAAUGAUGUAACGACUAUGUGUCAUUGUUUCUAUCUCUGUAUGUAGUACAUCACUACAAGUCAACAUUUUAGACUGACAAUGCUAAUAAGAAUGUCCAGAUGAUAAGUUUCAUCCCAAAACAACUUGACAAAGAGUCUGGAGACAUCAACUAUUUAUUCCCCUCCAUAGAUGCUGCCUGACCUGGAGAGUUUCUCCAGAAUUUUGUAUGUUGCAGCAGCACUGUGAAUUGCCUGGAUCCAUUUCAGAUGGUUAGCAGGCAAUGGAUGAAGCUGGUUGCUGAGAGAGGUAGUUGUAAUAGCCAAUAGGGAUGAAGGUUUCAAAUGGCCCAAACUUUAGUUGGAAGACAUUUCUGAAUAUCAAGCACUGACCAACAAUUUACAUAGUGGAGGAGUCCAGAGAGACAGGGAGGAUGGAUGCCAACAAUUCAUGUGGAAACUGUCACUGUUGAGGGCUAUUAUAGUUAAGGAUUAAAAAUAGGAGGGGGAGUAGAGGAGAAUCUUGGGAGACAUCAAUGGUAACAGUGCAUAUGUGGAAGAAUAACAAUAAUGAGUGAUAUCCUAUUUGCAAGUAAAUAGAUAAGAAAGGGAAGUGCCAGCCAGCUGAGCAAUGCUCAAGUGUUACAGGAGGGUGAUGUGGGCAACGAUGUUGAAGUCUACAGAGCCUGACAGAAAGGAGAUGGAGGAAAUUAUACAGGGUGCCAUACUUUUAAAGGAAGCUGUAAAGAUGGUGUGGCAGUGACAGAAGGGAUUGGAAGUAUUCAUCAAGGCGUUCAGGGUAAGACCUGAAUAGCCAUAGCCUGUUCAGAGAAGGUUUACAGGGGCAGAAGGUUAUGUUGACAGUAUUAAUAAUGGUAGGUUUGAUAGUGAAGUACCCUGUAGUUGGUGAAUUUUUUUUUAACAAAUUCAGGUGAGAAAUGAAUGGUCAGUGGGUGUACAGUAUAUUUUCUUGAAAGCUUGCAUAGGUUCUAUGAAUGCACAGUGGAGAGUCUCCUGACUGGUUGUAUCAUGACCUGGUAUGAAAACAUCAAUGCCCGGGAAUGGAAAAGGUGGAUACAGCCAAAUCCAUCAGAGGCAAAGCCCUCCCCACUGAGGUACUGCCACAAGCAUUGAUUUUCAAAGACUGCCAUCAUCCAGGCUGUGCUCACUUCUCACUACUACCAUUGGGUAGGAGAUACAGAAGCAUUA